Molecule: ribosomal RNA, 432 nt
Filed under: uncultured bacterium
Lineage: Bacteria
Description: partial 16S ribosomal RNA
Rfam family: Bacterial small subunit ribosomal RNA
Source: RNAcentral
AACGAACGCUGGCGGCAUGCCUAACACAUGCAAGUCGAACGAGACCUUCGGGUCUAGUGGCGCACGGGUGCGUAACGCGUGGGAACCUGCCCUUAGGUUCGGAAUAACUCCCCGAAAGGGGUGCUAAUACCGGAUAAUGUCUUCGGACCAAAGAUUUAUCGCCUUUGGAUGGGCCCGCGUGGAUUAGCUAGUUGGUAGGGUAAAAGCCUACCAAGGCGACGAUCCAUAGCUGGUCUGAGAGGAUGAUCAGCCACACUGGGACUGAGACACGGCCCAGACUCCUACGGGAGGCAGCAGUGGGGAAUAUUGGACAAUGGGCGAAAGCCUGAUCCAGCAAUGCCGCGUGAGUGAUGAAGGCCUUAGGGUUGUAAAGCUCUUUUACCCGGGAUGAUAAUGACAGUACCGGGAGAAUAAGCUCCGGCUAACUCCGUG